UACGAAGGGGGCUAGCGUUGUUCGGAAUCACUGGGCGUAAAGGGCGCGUAGGCGACUUUAUAAGUCGGGGGUGAAAGCCUGUGGCUCAACCACAGAAUUGCCUUCGAUACUGUAGAGCUUGAGACCGGAAGAGGUAAGUGGAACUGCGAGUGUAGAGGUGAAAUUCGUAGAUAUUCGCAAGAACACCAGUGGCGAAGGCGGCUUACUGGUCCGGUUCUGACGCUGAGGCGCGAAAGCGUGGGGAGCAAACAGG
This 253-nucleotide ribosomal RNA is filed under the name uncultured bacterium. Its description in RNAcentral is "partial 16S ribosomal RNA". It matches the Rfam family "Bacterial small subunit ribosomal RNA", at positions 524 to 776 of the family's 1533-position model. The record is from RNAcentral.